UCUGGGAUACUGGAAUAAGAGCAGACUGACCGUUGUGGGAGAUGAACUCAGGAUCCCUUAACAGAGAUUAGUCAGUCUGUUUUAACAACCUUUAGCCACUCCUUCCCGCUGGUAAUCUUCAGCCCUUUUUGUUAGCGUAUAGGAAGCACUCCCUGCCACCCUCCAUCUUUUCCUCAGUACUUGGGUCCUCAAACCACUUGGUACCCCAAGGAUAUAGGAGGGGCUUAUCCUGACCCUUCCCACAGGUGAGCUUCUGGUCCUUUGAUGCACUGAAUCGGUAUACUAGCUUGAUGCUAGCCUAACUUUCAAGGCUUCUCUGUAAGCUUCAUGAGGAGUUGUUUCGCUGAAGAUGUUAAGAAGAGGGUAAGGACUCCCCCUGGUUUCCCCUUCUACAUACAAAGGGCCAUAUUUUCUUAGAGGGAACCUCUUGGGGUCCAUGCGCUGGGCAUAGCAAGAGGUGAAAGUGGGUGGGCCAGAGGUUCAGAAACAUCAGGAGAGAGCACAACUCUGGCUCACCCUGCUGCUGCCCAGGACUGACCUGCCGGGAGCCUGAGGGCCCUAUCCUGCUUCUCUCCACUGUUGAUAUUUUCACCCCUCCCAUUGACAGAAUCUCCUGAUCUGAUGUUUUGAGAAAGGAGGGGGUGGAAACUGCUCUUCUACUCUUUCACUCCUGUCUGACUGCCUGACUCUGUGUGUGGAGAGAGUCUUAUCUAUGUAGUGACUAGAUGGCUGAGUGGGAGCUGUAACAUUCAUGCAAGCCAGUAGUUUGUUAGUUUGUAGUAAAAGGACCCCUGACCAUUAGGUCCAGUCGUGGCCGACUCUGGGGUUGCAGCGCUCAUCUCACUUUAUUGGCCAAGGGAGCCGGCGUACAGCUUCCGGGUCAUGGGCCCAGCAUGACUAAGCCGCUUCUGGCGAACCAGAGCAGCGCAUGGAAACACCGUUUACCUUCCCGCCGGAGCGGUACCUAAUUAUCUACUUGCACGGGUGUGCUUUCGAACUGCUAGGUUGGCAGGAGCAGGGACCGAACAAUGGGAGCUCACCCCGUCGCAGGGAUUUGAACCGCCAACCUUCUGAUCGGCAAGUCCUAGGCUCUGUGGUUUAACCCACAGCGCCACCCGCGUCCCUUCUAGUUUUUAGUAGCUAUUAGAAAUAAAAGGAGUUAUGCUUCACAGCUAGCUUCUGCGGUAUUUAUACUCUGCUGAGUCUGGUGCUCACAAUGCACAGUUGUGGGUCCAAUGCACUGGGACCUGCUUUCCAGGAUUGGAAGGUCUCCGAAACUGCUCCAGUUGCCUAGUCCAGUCCAGGCAGAACCAGUUAUUGAGCCCAGUCGCUGACAUCGGUUAAAAGGUGCACUGACAUCCACCUGGCCUGGGGCAGGACCAAGUUCCAUAAAGGACUACUGCUGCUGCUGCUGCUGGGCAGAGAGGGCUCCAUAUUUAAAAAUUGCUUUUAUUUUUAUCCAUGUCAUUUUAAAUUGUGAUUGAUAUUAAUGCCAUAUUCUUAGUUUUAGGUUUUAUUAUUUAUGUGGAAAUUGUUUUCCAUUUGGUUGUGUACCUUUUGAUGUGCUUUAUUUAUUGUUUAUGACCUUUGUUAUGUUUGUAAUUAUGUAAAUCUUGUCACAUUGUAAGCCACCUUGAGCAUCGUUUUCACUAUGGAAAGGCGGCAUACAAAUAAAAUGAUGAUGAUGAUGAUGAUGAUGGAUUAGGGGUGGCGCUGUGAGUUAAACCACAGAGCCUAGGGCUUGCCAGUCAGAAGGUAGGUGGUUCGAAUCCCUAUGAUGGGGUGAGCUCCCGUUGCUCGGUCCCUGCUCCUGCCAACUUAGCAGUUUGAAAGCACGUCAAAGUGCAAGUAGAUAAAUAGGUACCACUCCGGCGGGAAGGUAAACGGUGUUUCCGUGCGCUGCUCUGGUUCACCAGAAGUGGCUUAGUCAUGCUGGCCACAUGACCCGGAAGCUGUACGCCGGUUCCCUCGGCCAAUAAAGCAAGAUGAGCGCCGCAACCCCAGAGUCGGCCACGACUGGACCAAAUGGUCAGGGGUCCCUUUACUUUUUCUAUAAAUAAACUACAUCCUAAGAUUUUACUUUCUUGGGUUCCAUGAUCACUGCAGUCACGAAAUUAAAAGACACCUACUUCUUGGGAGAAAGGCUAUGACAAACCUAGACAGCAUCUUAAAAAGCAGAGACAUCACCUUGCCGACAAAGGUCCGUAUAGUUAAAUCUAUGGUUUUCCUAGUAGUGAUGUAUGGAAGUGAGAGCUGGACCAUAAAGAAGGCUGAUCGCCGAAGAAUGGAUGCUUUUGAAUUAUGGUGCUGGAGGAGACUCUUGAGAGUCCCAUGGACUGCAAGAAGAUCAAACCUCUCCAUUCUGAAGGAAAUCAGCCCUGAGUGCUCACUGGAAGGACAGAUCCUGAAGCUGAGGCUCCAAUACUUUGGCCACCUCAUGAGAAGAGAAGACUCCCUGGAAAAGACCCUGAUGUUGGGAAAGAUGGAGGGCACAAGGAGAAGGGGACGACAGAGGACGAGAUGGUGGGACAGUGUUCUCGAAGCUACCAGCAUGAGUUUGACCAAACUGUGGGAGGCAGUGGAAGACAGGAGUGCCUGGCAUGCUCUGGUCCAUGGGGUCACGAAGAGAUGGACACAACUCAUCGACUAAACGACAAAAUAAACAACGAAAUGAAAUUAAUUGGGGACUGUUGCCCCUAUGCUUAGAAGGGGGAAGAAAUGUUUAUGCUGGUUCACAAUGUACUUUGCUCAUUUUCUGGCCCCCCUCUCCGGAAACAGGAAGGCGGGUGAUCUCUAUGGCUACUAAAUCUGCAGGCCAGAGGGAGCCUGGUCUCCCUCGCGAGGCUGUUUCUUGCCCCUUUCCACUGAUUCCCUUUCCUUUCUGCUCUGCUGUUUUCCAUUUCUGCAGCUGUCCCCUCUUAAUUUGUCCUCUUUCCUGCAGGAAUUAAUUGCCUCAGCAGAGCAUAAAGAGAACACAAAUGUUUUGCAGCGAGAUAAACACAAACGUGCAAUUGAGUUACAGCCGAACCACCUUUUGACCGAGUCCUACUCAAAACAAUUUCAUUCUGAGUUCCUUGGAGUUUGUUUGCUGGGUUUUUUGUGUGUGUCUGAAAUAUACUCAGAGUCGCAAAGUGAUUUCAUGCUCUUUAUUCAGCUCAUAGUGGUGAGGAGGAAUGAAUGAAAGUUCCCUCAAAGUAUUUGCUUUAUAUAUUAUUUACACAAUGGGCUGCACAUGAUUGACUAAUUCCGGAAUUCUACUGUAAGCCAAUCAGGUUGUGGAUUCACUUCUAUCUGGAGCAUGAUUGGGUGGUUCCUGCCAACCAAUCAUACUGCUGCAUUUUGGGGCCUAUUGUUCUAGGACCAAUCAGACUGCUGCAGUUUGGAUCCUAUUCAACUCAGUACAUAACAGUGUCUAAGUGUGGAGGGUUCUCAUUGGUAUAAUUGGAGAUGGUAUGUAUGUAUGUAUGUAUGUAUCUGCACCAAUCUCCACGGAUGUCCUAUAUUUGCAUAACCUGUGGAAACAGAGCCAGCGAAUUCAGCCUAAUAAUUUCUUGUUUGAUCGUAGAAUUGUAGAGUUGGGAGGGGACCCCAGAGUCAUCUAGUCCAACCCCCUGAAAUGCAGAAAUCUCAAUGAGACUAUUUCCGUUAGGCAAUGAUUUUUCUUGCAUUUUUGCCAAUUCUAUAACUGUUGUCAAAAGUUUGUACACGGGAGUCAUCAAUAAAGUGAAUUACGAGUCAGCAUUGUGGCUAAGAGUGGCAGGGGGUCCCUGGUUCAACUCUCAAUAUUGAGCCCAGAGGUUGUGGUCAAUGUCAGCCUCCCAUCUGCAAUAUGGGAAUAAUUUAUCAAUUGAUUCAAUGCACAUGCCUUUGUUCUGCCCUACCCUACUCCCUACCUUGGGGAUAAGAAUACAGGAACUGUGCUAGGUCGGGGCAAAGGUUUACCAAGCCUGGCUUUCCAAGAUCAGAACCCCGCUCCUCCCCCUGCUUUUAGCCUUCCCACUCUGCCAACCCUGUUUCCAUAGCUGAAUGUGCUUUACUGUGGUAGGCUGUUGUCAGGAAUGAGCCAGCUCCCAGCGAAGAUUUGCAGCCAGUUGCAGAAAGCAGCCAGGAACAGAGAGACUUAGAUGUUAGUCAGAUAGGAGAGAGCCGGCAGCUGCAGUCUUCGGCUCUUCCUGACCUUGACGAAUUGGCUGAUAAGGCAGUAGAUGAGAGCAGGCGGGAACACAGCCAAAGCUCACAGGAACAUGUUGGAGCUGAUCCACUCAGUCCUAAGAGUGGGUAAAUGGGAGGGCUGUUAGACAGGAAUCAAAACAAGAGACGUAAGAGUCGGAAGAUCAUUUUCUUCUGUCAUGGCCGGAAGGGGUCUUCAGAAUGGUCAUCUUGAGUAAUGAUGCUGGAGGCUUUGUCAGAGCCGUCCGAAGCUAUCUAUUUGUUUUUGCAAUAAAUCCUCCUUUUUAAUUACCUACGCUUACCGUGUUAUCAAGCCGGGAACCUAGACUCCUGACAGCUGUGGACAUGGGGUGACUAAAAAGCUUGAAUGCAUGGAAUGGAGACAGCGGAUAGAGAAAAGUUUUUUUCUCCCUCUCUCAUAACACUCAGACUUGGGUUUUUUUUAAUAACUUUUUUAUUCAAAAUUAAAACAAAACAUAUUGUCCAGAAACAUAUCAUCCUUAUUUCCCCCCCAUUUUUCCUCCCUCCCCCUCCCUUCCCCCACAAAACCCACCCACCCUCACCCCCGACUUCCCUCAGUUCCAGUCUUUGAUUUCUCUAAAAAUGCUGCUUUCUGCAUGUUACACAGUUGUAUAGAUCCUCAAACUAUUUAGCUGAUUGUUAUCAAUAAAAAGUUUGUGAAUGUUUAUUAAAAACCAGCCAAGGAGUCCAGUUCGCUUUGUUGUGUCUUCAGAUACUUUGUAAAGGGUUCCCAUUCAUCUUUAAAGUCACAGUUAUCCUUGUCCCGUAGCUUGUAUGUCAGUUUUGCCAGUUCUGCACAGUCCAUCAAUUUUUCUUGCCAUGAUUCUUUAGUGGGGGUUUCUUCAGUCUUCCAUCCUUGCGCCAUUAAAACUCUCGUGGCCGUUGUUGCAUACAUGAAGAUGUUUUCCAGCUUUUUUGGCAGAUCUUUCCCUACAAUCCCUAAUAAAAAUGCUUCAGGUUUUUUUAAACAAAUGUUAAAUGGAACAUUUUCUUCAAUUCGUUGUAUAUCAUUUCCCAAAUUUUUUUAAUUACCUUACAAUCCCACCACAUAUGAUAAAAUGUCCCC
This 5257-nucleotide long non-coding RNA is filed under the name Podarcis lilfordi (Lilford's wall lizard). Lineage: Eukaryota; Metazoa; Chordata; Lepidosauria; Squamata; Lacertidae. The record is from RNAcentral.